This 1213-nucleotide ribosomal RNA is filed under the name Salmonella enterica subsp. enterica serovar Enteritidis. Its description in RNAcentral is "bacterial SSU rRNA". It matches the Rfam family "Bacterial small subunit ribosomal RNA", at positions 40 to 1255 of the family's 1533-position model. Lineage: Bacteria; Pseudomonadati; Pseudomonadota; Gammaproteobacteria; Enterobacterales; Enterobacteriaceae. The record is from RNAcentral.
AGGNCAGCCUACACAUGCAAGUCGAACGGUAACAGGAAGCAGCUUGCUGCUUCGCUGACGAGUGGCGGACGGGUGAGUAAUGUCUGGGAAACUGCCUGAUGGAGGGGGAUAACUACUGGAAACGGUGGCUAAUACCGCAUAACGUCGCAAGACCAAAGAGGGGGACCUUCGGGCCUCUUGCCAUCAGAUGUGCCCAGAUGGGAUUAGCUUGUUGGUGAGGUAACGGCUCACCAAGGCGACGAUCCCUAGCUGGUCUGAGAGGAUGACCAGCCACACUGGAACUGAGACACGGUCCAGACUCCUACGGGAGGCAGCAGUGGGGAAUAUUGCACAAUGGGCGCAAGCCUGAUGCAGCCAUGCCGCGUGUAUGAAGAAGGCCUUCGGGUUGUAAAGUACUUUCAGCGGGGAGGAAGGUGUUGUGGUUAAUAACCGCAGCAAUUGACGUUACCCGCAGAAGAAGCACCGGCUAACUCCGUGCCAGCAGCCGCGGUAAUACGGAGGGUGCAAGCGUUAAUCGGAAUUACUGGGCGUAAAGCGCACGCAGGCGGUCUGUCAAGUCGGAUGUGAAAUCCCCGGGCUCAACCUGGGAACUGCAUUCGAAACUGGCAGGCUUGAGUCUUGUAGAGGGGGGUAGAAUUCCAGGUGUAGCGGUGAAAUGCGUAGAGAUCUGGAGGAAUACCGGUGGCGAAGGCGGCCCCCUGGACAAAGACUGACGCUCAGGUGCGAAAGCGUGGGGAGCAAACAGGAUUAGAUACCCUGGUAGUCCACGCCGUAAACGAUGUCUACUUGGAGGUUGUGCCCUUGAGGCGUGGCUUCCGGAGCUAACGCGUUAAGUAGACCGCCUGGGGAGUACGGCCGCAAGGUUAAAACUCAAAUGAAUUGACGGGGGCCCGCACAAGCGGUGGAGCAUGUGGUUUAAUUCGAUGCAACGCGAAGAACCUUACCUGGUCUUGACAUCCACAGAAGAAUCCAGAGAUGGAUUUGUGCCUUCGGGAACUGUGAGACAGGUGCUGCAUGGCUGUCGUCAGCUCGUGUUGUGAAAUGUUGGGUUAAGUCCCGCAACGAGCGCAACCCUUAUCUUUGUUGCCAGCGGUUAGGCGGGAACUCAAAGGAAACUGCCAGUGAUAACUGGAGGAAGUGGGGAUGACGUCAGUCUNCUGGCCUUNNANCCGGGCUACCCCNUCUACAUGGCCAUCAAAAAAAGCAACUCCCA